Nematostella vectensis (starlet sea anemone) is the source of this 161-nucleotide long non-coding RNA. RefSeq lists it as uncharacterized. The transcript has 2 exons. Lineage: Eukaryota; Metazoa; Cnidaria; Anthozoa; Actiniaria; Edwardsiidae. The record is from RefSeq and is a predicted model, not a curated record.
CUGACAUUGGCAGGAGAUAUCACAAACACCUGGUAAUUGGACCUCAGAUUUUCUUAACUGAUUUUUUCAGAAGAGCAACAAGGAAGGUGAAGGUGUGAAAGCGAGAAAGCAUGCAAAAACAAGUGAAGGACCAGAAAAUGAAAAGUUGGAGGUGGCUAAGG